UACAGAGGUGCCGAGCGUUAGGCGGAAUCACUGGGCUUAAAGCGCGUGUAGGCGGGUCGCUAAGUGUCCGCGUGAAAUCCCACGGCUCAACCGUGGAACGGCCGGGCAUACUGACGACCUUGAGGUGCUCAGGGGCGAGCGGAACGAACGGUGGAGCGGUGAAAUGCGUAGAUAUCGUUCGGAACGCCGACGGUGAGAACAGCUCGCUGGGAGCAUCCUGACGCUGAGACGCGAAAGCCAGGGGAGCGAACGGG
This 254-nucleotide ribosomal RNA is filed under the name uncultured bacterium. RNAcentral describes it as "partial 16S ribosomal RNA". It matches the Rfam family "Bacterial small subunit ribosomal RNA", at positions 524 to 776 of the family's 1533-position model. The record is from RNAcentral.